Long non-coding RNA from Sapajus apella (tufted capuchin), 1628 nucleotides. RefSeq lists it as uncharacterized. NCBI's taxonomy places the organism in Eukaryota, Metazoa, Chordata, Mammalia, Primates, Cebidae. The transcript is spliced from 3 exons. The record is from RefSeq and is a predicted model, not a curated record.
UCCCUUUCUAUAAAGAGCAAAGCUUUUCCAGUUCUAUUGUCAUUUACACUUGUUUAUUUUGGUUUGUGAAUAAAAGUAUUAUCUUAUCUUGUACAACACAUUUCAGCAGACCGCCUUGAGCACUUUGAGGCUGUGUUUGCAUAAUAAACGGCCCAGAACAAUGAAAAUCCAUAAAAGAGUCUCAUAAAAAGACCCUUCAGAAGGUGGCUGAAUAUGUGAAAAAACAGGUGAUUAUCACGGCCACCAACAAUGUCACGAGGAGUGCAUCUUCAUAGCAGCCUGUCCGUUAAUUAGUUGGGGGUGGAGGACACAGCUGGGGCGAAAGGCCUGAACCAGCCAGGUGGACGGUGUGCGUGCCAGGCACUGAACCCCGCCAAGAUCACAUGCAGAGAGGGGGCAGCGGGGCCGGAGGGAAUGUUCUGCUUUCACCCAGACCCACCUGGAUUUGAAGCCUGGCCUCACAUUUCCCACGUGUGUCAUCACGCAGAGCUGUGGCUUUCUCAUCUGCAAAGUGAACUUACAAAUACCUACCUACCUUAUAGAAUCAAUUUGAAGACCAAAGGUUGGGUAACGAUGGGGCGGGGCAGGGAGGGGGACACCACUGUUUCAGGGCCAUACAUGCUGUAAUCAUCUCAUCCUUGUGGCAAUCCAGGUGCUGGUAUAUUUGGCAUUUCCAUGUAAGUAAGGCUUAGGCAGAUGAACUAACUUCUCCAAGUAAGCAUUGAAACCAGAAGCCCCGCCGCAUUCUGCAGGUCUCCCUGGCCUGGCUGUGCUUCCUCCCUCCCCACGCUCCGUCUUUGUGGUGCCUGGGUGGGGUCCUCCCCACUCACCAGGUGAUAACACAGGUGUGCUUCGCAGGUGGCUCAUUUUUUCUUUCUGGACCUGAAGCUUCUUGAGGAUGGUGGUAAGUUCAGAACUGUCUUUGUAAAGCACUGCUCUGCCUGUUGCUAGCGCCCUUUAUUCUGAGGAUUCCCUUGAAGGCAGCUCAGGAGCAGCAGCUUCCCUGCCAGGCUCUGCAGCACCUGGGAGAACUUGCAGCUGGUCCGGGCCUGUCUGCUCCUGGAUGGAGCCUGCCUGGUGCCCCAUACCUGCUCAUGGAGGUCUCCACUGCUCAGGCCUAGACCCUAGGAGACGCUGGGAGAAGAAUUGACGAAUGGGAAGCAGGAGAAGGGCAGGGCAGAAAAGCAAGGGGAAGCCAGACAGCAGCAAAGAAGAGAGGCAAAGUGUCUAUGCCAGGAGGGGGGUGCCCGCCUGCCCUCAGAGCUCAGGCAGAGUCCCCACGGCAGGGGCGAGGGCUGGGGAGGAGGCCAUACAGAUGCCACUGCCUCGCAAUUAGACCAGCACCAUGGCUGAGAAAGCCAUGACACCAAGAAAUGCCAGGAGGGCAGGGACCUACUGAGGGGCAGCAGUGGUGUGGCACCGGGGGCAGCUGGCAGCACCUCGGCCAGACUGCAGUUCAGGGGUAGGAAUGGGGUGAGGUGCAUGCUAGAGAUGGAGCAGGGCCUAGUUCUGACGAUGAGAAUGACUUAGGCCUCUUGGUGCCAAGUAGGAAAACUGAACCACAAGCAGCUUACACAUGAUAAUGGGCAUUUAUUCACUUAACCACCUAAUAGGUCUGGCCUCAGCCU